GCACUGCUUUUCAGAAUCCUCAGCGAGCUGUGUAGUGGUUGAUGAUAUUUACUAUCGUUGUCCUUGCUUGCUUUUUAACGUAUCAAGGUGGAAUACUAGAAUAUAUAUUUUGAACAAAUGCCUGAGUGGUGAUCCAAAUUUAUCAGGACCACCUGUUGGACGUAGAUAAUGAUAAUAUCAACACCAAGAUGUACGGAUCGUAGAUCUAGCAGAGUUACCCCAACAUAAAGAGUUCCCGCAAAAAGAAAAGAAAAAGAAAAAGAAAACCAAGCCAUUGACUUUUGGGAAACGAAAAAAAAAUAGAAAUAAAAUAAAUAAGAUUUUUGUAAGCCAAAUUGAAAGUACACUGCUUUAUGUGGUCCCCCACAUUAAAAGUAUGGUAAAUAGAUACAAACAAGCUAAGAACUAAAAGUUCUCCAUAGUUAAAAUAAUACUUCGGGAGGAUUGGUGAAAUAGGAUUAGAACAAUUUUCCUGAGUUGUAAUACUAAAAAAAGGUGGGUAAAAGAGCAAAGCCCACAAGGGACAAGGAAGAUAAAAAAGAAUAAAUGGAAAAAAAGGAAAGGAGGAAGGGACAAAAUCAAAUAUACAAUUAAAAAGAUAUACUACUACAGUAUUUGCUUUUUUAAAGGGAAAGAAAAAACAAUUCAAGUUGAAGAAUAGGGGAAAGAGGAGGUAUAGGUAUAGGAGGAGGAAGAAAGAAAGCGGGCAUCACUACACGUACUCUGAUGUAACGCUAGCAAAAGCAAUCAUAAUGGUAAAACCAGGGCUACAUCGAUCGGUACAGCAAUUCAGACAAGGGAGACGACAAGGGAGACAACAAGAAAGGAAUUUUGACAGUUAAGGAACAGGGUUCUUAUAGCAAGAUGAACCGGAAGUGAAAAAAUUGAGUUGAUAGAGAAUAGUUAAGUGCAAGAGGAAACCAAAAAAAAGGGUUUCGUCCCGUUAACAAAUUAAAAAAAUCUGUAUCUGAUUUCGAGAUCAUCUUCCAGGCUUUCUCACGAUGUAAUAUGUCAG
This 1015-nucleotide small RNA is filed under the name Histoplasma capsulatum. RNAcentral describes it as "hypothetical RNA". The record is from RNAcentral. RNAcentral also lists the same sequence under 1 other name. Lineage: Eukaryota; Fungi; Ascomycota; Eurotiomycetes; Onygenales; Ajellomycetaceae.